GCCGAGGUUCCCGAGUGGUCAAAGGGAGCAGACUGUAAAUCUGUUGGCGCAAGCCUUCGUAGGUUCGAAUCCUACCCUCGGCACCA
This 86-nucleotide transfer RNA is filed under the name Patescibacteria group bacterium. RNAcentral describes it as "tRNA-Tyr". It matches the Rfam family "tRNA". Rfam says of the family: Transfer RNA (tRNA) molecules are approximately 80 nucleotides in length. Their secondary structure includes four short double-helical elements and three loops (D, anti-codon, and T loops). The record is from RNAcentral.